UAACUACUCCCUCCGUCCCGAAAUACUUGUCGGAGAAAUGAAUAAAAUUGGAUGUAUCUAUAACUAAAAUAUGUCUAAAUUCAUCCAUUUCUCCGACAAGUAUUUCCGGACGGAGGAAGUAUUUA
Molecule: non-coding RNA, 125 nt
Organism: Triticum aestivum (bread wheat)
Lineage: Eukaryota; Viridiplantae; Streptophyta; Magnoliopsida; Poales; Poaceae
Source: Rfam